AGGCCAGACUCCUACGGGAGGCAGCAGUGGGGAAUAUUGCACAAUGGGGGGAACCCUGAUGCAGCGACGCCGCGUGGGUGAAGAAGUCAUUCGUGCCGAAAAGCCCUAUCAGCAGGGAAGAAAAUGACGGUACCUGACUAAGAAGCCCCGGCUAACUACGUGCCAGCAGCCGCGGUAAUACGUAGGGGGCAAGCGUUAUCCGGAUUUACUGGGUGUAAAGGGAGCGUAGACGGCGGCGCAAGUCCGGAGUGAAAGCCCCCGGCCCAACCGUGGGACUGCUCUGGAAACUGUGCGGCUUGAGUGCGGGAGGGGCAGGCGGAAUUCCUGGUGUAGCGGUGAAAUGCGUAGAUAUUAGGAGGGACACCGGCGGCGAAGGCGGCCUGCUGGA
This 388-nucleotide ribosomal RNA is filed under the name uncultured bacterium. Its description in RNAcentral is "partial 16S ribosomal RNA". It matches the Rfam family "Bacterial small subunit ribosomal RNA", at positions 328 to 733 of the family's 1533-position model. The record is from RNAcentral.